This is an RNA transcript of Hordeum vulgare subsp. vulgare (domesticated barley), 1750 nucleotides long. It is a transcript of the gene named nicotianamine synthase-like 5 protein, with no coding region annotated. The transcript is spliced from 3 exons. NCBI's taxonomy places the organism in Eukaryota, Viridiplantae, Streptophyta, Magnoliopsida, Poales, Poaceae. The record is from RefSeq and is a predicted model, not a curated record.
GCCUUUCGUCGAGCUCGGUUUCUUUCUCCUGUCCCAAUUCCUUUCUCCAGUCUCCGUCUCUACCAGUCAAAGAAGUCUCCCCGAUCUGAACUCCGGCCACCACCUGCAGCGCGAGGGAGCUCCGGCCGCCCCCCUGCCCCGGCCGCGACGCAGCCGGUGGCCUUCUCCGCUUCGGGGGCCCGGGAACGUCGCCGUCCUCCUCCCCACGCCGGAGAGAAACUCGUGCGGCCGCGGACGGCUGAAGGGGGGCUCGCGGUGGAGCUGGAGCAGACGCCGGCCGGCCGGCUGCCACAGACAGGGAGGAGAUGUCAUUCAUGUAAGACAGGGAGGUGUCAACCUGCUGCUGAGUGGUAGGUACCUUAAUACCCUCUACAACCCUGUGGUUGGCCUCGUCGAAGUCCAUGAGAAGUAUCAGCAAGGCACAAGUAACCGUUGAUGAAAAUCUCUGUUAAAAUAAAUAAAUCAAAACUGCAAUGAUUCAAGAACAGCUCAAUCACCUGGUGAAGGUCAAGUUUUUCAGUUCUUUAAAACUCAUGCAACUUCUAUUUUUGAAAACGUGCACAUCUCCCUCAUAUAAGAGUUUUUGGUAGACAUAGAGUUGAAAAGAAUCAUUGGAUCAACAGACAGAUACGCAGAACAGAACAAGGCAUGGCUGAGUUAGUUUGUUCUAAAAAUGAUUGCUCUUGUGAGUUGAAUAAUUGUUCAGGAGAAGUUUUUUGCUAGCUGGACCAGUCAAUAAAGUUAAAAAGGAAGAGAAAAAAAAACUGAUUGUCUAUCCUCCCUGCAUAAAUGUCUUGUGCUGUUGAGGAUUACAGUUUUUUUUUUUGCUGUUGCAUGGUGAAUCAUGAAGGAAUCUAUAGCUCGGUGUGUUGAGAAGGUUCUGUUUAGUUUGUUUUUGCCGGGUUGUGGGUUUUGAUCUGCCGUGUGCUAUUCUUAGACUCUAUGGAAUUGGUGGAUGCUUGUGAGUAUUAUAACUGUUCCUAAUUUUACUUGUCACUAUUGCUUGAACGCUUUCAUAUUAUGAUCCUUAAGGGCUUGUUGGGUUGCAAGGGGCUUGAAGAGGGUUGGAGUGGAUUGGAGAGGAUUAAAUUCCCCCUCAAGCCCCUCCCAACCUCUUCAAUCCUCUUCAAGGGAGGUUUAACCGAACAAGGCCUAAAUGUGAGUUGCUGUGAUGAAUCGGCAACUCAGUUGAUGGAUCGGGUUGCCCCUUGCUGCUUCAGAAGGGGGUAUAUAAAAGAGUGGAAGACACUCUGUAUAUAUCGUUUGCUCGAAAGGAUGCUAAGAAUGGCAAAUCCAUCUUCUGGAAUUUAACAUUGUGACUUGUUGCGGCUCCGUGCUCUUCUGAAGCCGGGGAAGAUGCACACCAAGAAGGAACGCCCGGUGGAAAACAAACAGCAGAAUCUGAGUCGACGAAAAAAAAUGUUCUGUGGCAAUGCGGAGGACGUUAAGGCGGUCGAUUCUUCCCGAGCCGCGCAAAUCUCUUCUUGCACGGAAUGCUGCCUCUCCUCGCGAGCACGGCCGCGAUUUUUACCGGGGGUACUAGCAGCUAUGAUGUUGGUUCCCUGUAUUGAAAUGCUGUCCUUAGUUCCUGGCAGUAGUAGUUCCUGGUAGCUAGAGGGGAAAAUGCUGAAUUCCAUGCCUACUUGUACUUGUAUCUCGCUGCAACCUGUCCUGGCAUGUGUGUAAAAUAUUAUUACUUUUUUUUCAGAAAUACAUAUAAUGCAAUCAAAAGUGACACCACCCUUUUGUA